GGCGUAAAUGCUCCAUACUUGUGGGUUCACUUUAGAGGAUCAAAAUCAUGGGAUGUGUUUGCUGAGAUUCUUGAAAAGACUCACAUAAUUACAGUCCCUGGCUCAGGUUUUGGACCUGGUGGAGAAGAAUAUUUAAGGAUCAGUGGGUUUGGACGUAGAGACGAUAUGAUUGAAGCAUCAAGGAGGUUGCGAAAUUUCUUCAACACUCGAACCAAGCAUUUUCCUUUUCUCUCUUCCGCUUCUAAUACAAACUAAGUUGAACGCAUAUCGGGACUUGUAUUUAUCUUGCCUUGAAUAAUACCUCCCACUUGUAUGAUGUAUAUAAAUAAAAGCUCUGGGACCAUGUUUAACUUUUAUUCAUUAUUAAUAAAAACAAAAUAAAUAUGCAAUAAUAUUAAGGUAAAUAUUACUUUACGACUAAUGAAAAAGAAAAGAAUAAAUAAAUAUGUAACCAUGUUAACAGAAACUAACCACAUUAUUUUACCUUUAUGUUGAAGCAUGCACCCUUUCAUUGGAUAAUGGACUAAAAAUGAUUAUUGCCAAUUCAUAAUACAAAACAACACAUUCUAUAAAAUAAUUACGUAAAAAUUUCACAGCAUUUUUAUAGGAAGAUGUUUUAUUAGAAAUUUUCAAUAAGUUCUCAAGUGAGUAUUUUAUAAUUUUAAAAAGAAUAAUUAAAAAAUAAAAGAGAGGGAUAAUGAAUUUUCAAAUGAGCAAAAAAAUAAAAAGAAUUUUCAAAUGAAAUUUUUUGAUAUCCAUGAGACAUAGACAUAAAAAAGGUGAUAUUUUUCGUUGUUUCUUGGUGGUUUUCAAAUCUUUUAGUUUCUAUUUGUUUCUUUUUCAUGGCAAGACUUUUUAUCUACUUGGAAAUGAGGCAACUGUUCCUCGAAACGUAAAUGAACUGAUGCCGCUUAUUAAACUGAACGCUAACGUUUUUCUUUUUGCUCUUAAACAAGAUGGGUGAUAUAUUUUAUUGGUUCGUAAACAAUUAUCGUACAGAUUAUUUGUACUCUUUUGCUAAGAUUUAAACCUGAAUGUUGGGUUUCGUUUCUAAAAGCUUCACGAAUCUAUAUACUUUGUUUGAAGAACCUCCAAGAACCUCCAAGCUUUCCCAUGCCUUCUUGUGUUCCACUCGCUCCAGAUAUAGUAAACCGUAAUUUGAAAACCAUUCACACCAGAACUUUAUCCAGUUUAGAGAGCCACGAUCAUGUUGAAUCUUCGCAACAGUGUUCAGCUAAUCCGGUGUUAUACAGGUACCAAGAAGUCUUUAUGUCACUCAUAUCCAAACCAUGUAAUUGUAAGGACAUGCGAAAAAAGAUGGUUUCUAGUUUCAUUCUUCUCCACACACCGCAAACACUCCUGUUGAAAGCCCCAAACCCUCAUAUGAUCUCCAGUAAACAUAUAAUUCUUGAUCGCUAGCCAAGUAAUUAAAGAAAACCUCGGAACAGCUUGCGAAAACCAAACCACAAUACUCCAAUCGACCUUUUCUUGUAUGUCUCUGAUCUGAUCCCAGGUGUUUUACUGCAACAUGUGCAGCAAUAAAUUUUUUUAAUUUUAAAUUAUAUUUAAAGAUAAAUUUUAUUAUUAUCUUACAUUUUAUUAUUUUUACCAAUAUUUUAAUAUAAAUUUUGAUUUAUUUAGACAUAAAUUAAGAUAAAAUAAACUUUUUACUUUAUAUUAGAUUUAAGAAUAUAUAUAUAUAUAUUUAAAAUUAUUUAGAUAGAUUUUUAUCUAUUUCUUUUGGAUAAAAUCUAUUAAAUCAACUUGGAUAUAAAGUUGUAUAAUUAUUAAAAUGUAAAACUAAAGAGUAUUUCUAAAAUUUGUAGAUAUAUAAAAACUAAUAAUAUUGCAAUUAAAAAUUUAUAAUUUUUUUAAGAAAUUGUAAUUUUUUUGAAAAUAUUUGUUUUUAUAGAAUUGUAUAAUUACAAAAUAUAGAAAUAUAUAAUAUUUUAAAAUGUGUAAAGUAUUAUUAUAUUUCUAUUAUUAUAUUAUUUAAUAUCAUAUUUGAAUUGAUUUACUUUAAUGAUGACGUAUAAUUUACCAAAAAUAUAAAUAAGCAUUAAAUUUAAUUGUCCAUAUCACAUUUAACCAAAAUCUAUGUCAUCAUUUCUUGCAUGACAUGUCACAUUUAUAUAGUGAAAAUGAUUGUAAGAGGACAUAUGUCAAAAUCACUUUGCAAAUAAUGUCUAGGGGAUUGACAUGUUUAUAUCACAUUUUACUUGGGGUCAUUUGAACUUGCUUGGAGUAUAUAUAUACGUGCUUAAUAGGUUGUAUCAUUGAUAUAUAACACCUUAAAAGCUGUUAUAACUUGGAACUAAAGAAUGGUCAGUCUAACGUUCUUCAGUUCGGCCUCAUCUUUGUCCUCUUCUCCAUCAAAAAUUGUCAAGUCUAGGUACUGGUUCACAUUCGUAAUGAAAGACAUAUGCUAAAAGUUUUUUCCUCCAUCUUUAUGUUAUAAUCCGGUUAUGUUGCACUACUCUUUCUCUAUUCUACAGUUUAGAGUUCGAGUUGAAGAAACUUGGUAAGAUUUUUUUUUUUUUUGCUAAAUGGUAAAUAUCAUUCAAGAAUGAAAGUUUGGUUACAACAUAGGUGAACCUGAAUAUGCUUGACAGCAAUUCUGUUUCAUAGAGGCUGCAAAAAGUUUAAAAAAACCUCUAAGAAACACAUGAAUUAGAACCAGAUCAACCAUAAGUGGUGUUCAUGGAGCUAAUAGAUAUUAGAACAAACCGACAACAAAUAAACUCUCAACUCAAGGGACGCUACUUGUAUCAUGGCAGAACCAUGAAGAACAUUAGCAAAGCAAAGAGAGGAACACCCGAACACUCACCCGAGGGUGGCUCCUAGCGGCUUCAACGGAGGCGACUGGCAACGGCUCCGGGACACCAGAGGAGGAGGACGUUGAGCAGAACCAAACCCAAAGCUUUCUCGGCAACAAAACCCCAUAGUGGACCCAACAAUACUCUGCCUGACAUGAAGAACAGACCUGUCAAGCGCAGGCGGUAAAUUUGGCUCCUGGCUCCCCAACCGGCCACGCGACGUUAAAAUGCGGCUGAGACAUCGGAGAAUCACACUGAGGUUGCGCCGGUGAAGAGAAGAGAAGUGAAGCACCGGAGGAGAGAACAGAGCUCUCCUCAAAUCAUGAGCUGCAACAGGAAGGGAGACUCGCCUUGUAGCUGAUAGCACCGUCACGGGAUCGUCCUCAAAACCCAAGGGAGCGGUGACAGACAGCGAGAAGGGAAAGCUCCAAGCUAACUUCAUUGCAGACCAUGGAAGUCGUCGAUUGGAUCUAGAAACAGAGGUCAUCAACGACGGUGAGCCUAGCACCGUCGAUUCUCCAAACGGAGGGGAUGGAUCAUGAGAUCUUUUGACAUGUAAGACAAUCUCUUGACGUUAUGCUUACUUGAUUUCAUCCACAGCUACUCCUAGGUUCCGGUGUCACAAUUGCUGUGCAAGAUCCUACCUUCCCAGUACGUAAUGUCAUCGAUUUUAUUUUAUGUUUCAUCUGUACUUUCUUUCAAUAACUGCUGAACAUAAAAAGCUUAAUUGGCUAAAAGAUGGAAAUAGAGAACUUCUUGUGAAUGCUAGUCUUUGCCUCUUAUGUUGCCUUCUCUUUGUGGAAUUAGGCUUACAUAGAUUCAAGUGUGAUUAUUGGCCAGACUGGUAAUUUCCAUGAAGCAACCAAGAAGUACCAAAACGUUGUCUAUAUGCCUUGUGGACCUCAAAAUAGUUUUUUCCCUGAUCUAUCAAAGACUCCAAGAACUGAUGUCAUCUUCUUUUGUUCUCCUAAUAACCCUACUGGUUAUGUGGCUUCAAAAAAACAACUACAUCAACUAGUUGAGUUUGCAAAGACCAAUGGUUCUAUUAUUAUUUUUGACUCUGCAUAUGCUGCAUUUAUCGAAGAUGGCAGCCCACGUUCAAUAUAUGAAAUCCCUGGUGCUCGAGAGGUGAGACGAGUUUUCAUGUAUAUGUUCCUUGGAGUUAUGUUUCCUUACAUUCAACAUAUAUAUUCACAACCACUCAUCAUAUUACAUUUUGCUAGGUUGCAAUUGAAAUUUCAUCAUUCUCUAAGUUUGCUGGUUUCACUGGUGUUCGGCUUGGUUGGACUAUCAUCCCUGAUGAGCUCUUGUACUCUAAUGGUUUUCCCAUUAUAAAUGAUUUCCAUCGCAUUGUGACAACUUCCUUCAAUGGAGCUUCAAAUAUCGCUCAGGCGGGUGGAUUAGCAUGCCUUUCUCCUGUUGGACUUAAGGUAGUUAAAUGUUUUAGCAUUAGUUUGAAUAUUUUGUUUAUUUUUAUUCAACAUCCUCUUUAUUUUUUCUUUGGUUAAACAUGAUAGGAGAUACGCUCGGUGAUCAAUUACUACAAAGAGAACAGAAAGAUACUAAUGGAGACUCUGGCCUCGCUCGGCCUCACGGUUUAUGGUGGCGUAAAUGCUCCAUACUUGUGGGUUCACUUUAGAGGAUCAAAAUCAUGGGAUGUGUUUGCUGAGAUUCUUGAAAAGACUCACAUAAUUACAGUCCCUGGCUCAGGUUUUGGACCUGGUGGAGAAGAAUAUUUAAGGAUCAGUGGGUUUGGACGUAGAGACGAUAUGGUUGAAGCAUCGAGGAGGUUGCGAAGUUUCUUCAACACUCGA
Molecule: long non-coding RNA, 4630 nt
Filed under: Brassica napus (rape)
Lineage: Eukaryota; Viridiplantae; Streptophyta; Magnoliopsida; Brassicales; Brassicaceae
Description: long non-coding RNA (BNAP_LNC002778)
Source: RNAcentral